Molecule: ribosomal RNA, 249 nt
Filed under: uncultured bacterium
Lineage: Bacteria
Description: partial 16S ribosomal RNA
Rfam family: Bacterial small subunit ribosomal RNA
Source: RNAcentral
CACGCCCUAAACGAUGUCGACUAGUUGUUCGGGAAGGUGACUUCUUGAGUAACGUAGCUAACGCGUGAAGUCGACCGCCUGGGGAGUACGGCCGCAAGGUUAAAACUCAAAGGAAUUGACGGGGACCCGCACAAGCGGUGGAUGAUGUGGUUUAAUUCGAUGCAACGCGAAAAACCUUACCCACCUUUGACAUGUACGGAAUCCUUUAGAGAUAGAGGAGUGCUCGAAAGAGAGCCGUAACACAGGUGC